UACGCCCGAUCUCGUCCGAUCUCGGAAGCCAAGCAGGGUCGGGCCUGGUUAGUACUUGGAUGGGAGACCGCCUGGGAAUGCCAUGUGCUGUAAGCUU
This 97-nucleotide ribosomal RNA is filed under the name Chelon auratus (golden grey mullet). The record is from RNAcentral. Lineage: Eukaryota; Metazoa; Chordata; Actinopteri; Mugiliformes; Mugilidae.